Larimichthys crocea (large yellow croaker) is the source of this 562-nucleotide long non-coding RNA. RefSeq lists it as uncharacterized. The record is from RefSeq and is a predicted model, not a curated record. The transcript is spliced from 3 exons. NCBI's taxonomy places the organism in Eukaryota, Metazoa, Chordata, Actinopteri, Sciaenidae.
CACGAGAAUGGAGGCCUCCUUCGUAGGUAGACCAACCGCCGUCAAAACAAAGAGAGUGGUCGCUGCUCCUAUAGCUGGCAUCCCUGCUGCUCCUAUGCUGCACACUGCUGCUGUCACACUGCAGGAAGAGGGACUUACCAAAGGGUAAUUAUCUCUCCGAAGUUGAGGUCGAUGUGGUUCAGCUGGGCUAGAAAACUACUGCCACCACUUCAUAAAGAACAGUUCCGUCCAUGUUGAUGUUGGUCCCGAUGGGCAGCAUGAAGCGAGUGAUUCUCUUGUCGAUCUUGAGUCGCUCCUCACAACAUUGGUAGAAAAGAUCAUCAAUCCCUCUGCUCUUAAACUCACUCUGCCUGCCAACAUGAAAAUCCAUUCCACCUUCCAUGUCUCCCAGAUCAAGUUGGUCUCUUUCAGUCCACUUUGCCUGCCUUUAUUUUGCUGUUUUUUGUUUCGUUCUCUAGCCCUGCCACACUCACCUGCCCUGCCGGACAUGCGCAGCCUGCCUUCAAUUCUUCUCUGGACUUCACCCUCAUGCCCUGGAUCACUCUCCCUUUCCUCCAUUGUG